This is a long non-coding RNA of Gossypium raimondii (Peruvian cotton), 578 nucleotides long. RefSeq lists it as uncharacterized. The record is from RefSeq and is a predicted model, not a curated record. The transcript is spliced from 3 exons. NCBI's taxonomy places the organism in Eukaryota, Viridiplantae, Streptophyta, Magnoliopsida, Malvales, Malvaceae.
GAACUUCAACACCUUGCUUUCUUAUGCAAAUCCGAAGUUGAUUCAAUUGGUAGGUUAACUGCUGGAAUCUUGCGGUUGCUUAAGCUUGAAAAGUCACUUGGCAAAGAAGCCAUGAAUAAACUUAGCAACCUCGGAAUCGAGGGUUUCGAAAAGAUUUUCUCAUCUGAUAAGCUCAGUCAAGGCAGCAAGCUUCAAGGUAUCACAACAUUGGCUUUGCUUGAGGAGGCAGUUUCAGAUUCACAAGCCAAGUGUGCUGCUCUCAUCACUGAAUCAUCUAAUUCGGAGUCUUCCUAGGCUGGUGCUUCUUUGGAAUCUCUUGCUAAGGGUACUAAGAACUCAAUGGGCUUGUCAACAAUUGCACUAAAUUGCACAGAAGGUGGUCAUAUUUAUUUUCUUUAUGAAAAUUUUCUUCGCUUCAUUUUCUUUGAUAUUUUUUUUUUGUUUUUUCAGUAUUUUUUCCUCUUUAUUUUGAUUUUAAUUUUUUUUUCAUAUUUGAAGAAUCUUCGAUUGUUUUCUAUAUACUCAUUUCUUGAUCGGAGUUUGGUUUUAAUUUAUGUAAGGUAGAAUGUCCCAGCAGU